GAAUUGACGGGGCCCGGCACAAGCGGUGGAGCAUGUGGUUUAAUUCGACGCAACGCGAAGAACCUUACCAGGGCUUGACAUCCCCUGACCGCGUAUGAAAGUACGUUUUCACCCUCGGGUGACAGGGAGACAGUGGUGCAUGGUUGUCGUCAGCUCGUGUCGUGAGAUGUUGGGUUAAGUCCCGCAACGAGCGCAACCCUCGACCUUAGUUGCCAGCAUUCAGUUGGGCACUCUAAGGUGACUGCCGGCUAAAAGUCGGAGGAAGUGGGGAUGACGUCAAAUCAUCAUGCCCCUUAUGACCUGGGCUACACACGUGCUACAAUGGGCGGUACAAAGGGUCGCGAACCCGCGAGGGGGAGCCAAUCCCAAAAAGCCGCUCUCAGUUCGGAUUGCAGGCUGCAACUCGCCUGCAUGAAGCCGGAAUCGCUAGUAAUCGCGGAUCAGCAUGCCGCGGUGAAUACGUUCCCGGGCCUU
This 474-nucleotide ribosomal RNA is filed under the name uncultured Anoxybacillus sp. RNAcentral's name for it is "bacterial SSU rRNA". It matches the Rfam family "Bacterial small subunit ribosomal RNA", at positions 907 to 1382 of the family's 1533-position model. The record is from RNAcentral. Lineage: Bacteria; Bacillati; Bacillota; Bacilli; Caryophanales; Anoxybacillaceae.